GAUGAAGAACGUAGCGAAAUGCGAUAAGUAAUGUGAAUUGCAGAAUUCAGUGAAUCAUCGAAUCUUUGAACGCACAUUGCGCCCGCCAGUAUUCUGGCGGGCAUGCCUGUCUGAGCGUCAUUUCAACCCUCAAGCAACUUCUGCUUGGUGUUGGGGAUCGGCCGUUAAACGCCGCCCCCGAAAUCUAUUGGCGAUCUCGCUGUAGCUUCCUAUGCGUAGUAGUAACAUCUCGCAUCUGGAGAGCGGCGCGGUCAUGCCGUAAAACACCCAACUUCUCAAGUUGACCUCAGAUCAGGUAGGAAUACCCGCUGAACUUAAGCAUAUCAAUAAGCGGAGGA
This 338-nucleotide unclassified non-coding RNA is filed under the name soil metagenome. RNAcentral's name for it is "partial contains 5.8S ribosomal RNA, internal transcribed spacer 2, and large subunit ribosomal RNA". The stretch from base 1 to 120 matches the Rfam family "5.8S ribosomal RNA", at positions 35 to 154 of the family's 154-position model. The record is from RNAcentral.